RNAcentral lists this transfer RNA (76 nucleotides) under Deltaproteobacteria bacterium. Its description in RNAcentral is "tRNA-Ala". It matches the Rfam family "tRNA". From Rfam's summary of the family: Transfer RNA (tRNA) molecules are approximately 80 nucleotides in length. Their secondary structure includes four short double-helical elements and three loops (D, anti-codon, and T loops). The record is from RNAcentral. Lineage: Bacteria; Pseudomonadati; Myxococcota; Myxococcia.
GGGGCUGUAGCUCAGUUGGGAGAGCGGCAGGCUGGCAGUCUGUAGGUCAGGGGUUCGAUCCCCCUCAGCUCCACCA